UGUGGCUGUGGCUUAUAUAAUGAGGUUACAGAUUAAAUCAGCCAUAAAGAAGGAUAAGCUUGAGACAUUUCUAACCAAAUGGAUGCACCUUGAAGCCAUACUCUUUUUUUUUUUUUUUUUUUGGUGCCGGGGAUCGAACUUGGGUCCUUGCACUUGUGCAGCAGGUGGUGAAAAAGUGAAUAAUUUCAGGCUUUUUUUUUUUUUUUGGUACCAGGGAUCGAACUCAGGACCUUGCGCUUGCACAGCAGGCAGCGAAACCACUGAGCUAAAUCCCCGGCUGAAGCCAUACUCUUAAGUGAGGUAAAUGGGACACAGGUGUAUAUAUACCGCAUUGUUUCUCCGGUGUGAGAAACCAAAAGUGUAAAUAAGGACCAAAAUGUACAAUAGAUAUUGGGGAAGUGGGAAGAAAAUGUCCAAAUGAGACAGGGAACAAGGGAGAGGGGGGAGAAAAAGGAAAGAAGGGACAAGAAAAACAAAAAAGAAUAGAAGAAAAAAUGGAAACAAAGCUUUUGUAAAUAAAGAGGGGCUGAAGGGAGCAGAGGGGAAUGGGAAGAAAAGAACCAAGAUACAUCAUGUACAGGUACAAAUUCCCUGUGUUGGGUGUUACUAUUAUGUAUAUCUAAAAUGUACUAAUAAAAUAGAGAAAAAUAUUUUAAAGAUUAAAUAAGCAAAAGGGUGGGAAUUAUUUCAGAUAUGCAAAGUUGGUUUAACUCAAAGAAUCUAUUAAUGUAACCUGUCCCAUCAACAGGCUAAUGAAGAAAAAUUGCGUGAUCAUAUCAACGGAUACAGAAAGAAGCAUUUGACAAAAUUUAACAUCUGUUUAUAAAAACUCUCAAGAAACUAGGAAUACAGGAGUUUCCUCUGUGUUGAUAAAGAACAUUCACAAAAAAACCUACGGCUAGUGAUAAAAAGGGAGUUACAUUCCUGCUAAGAUCAAAUACAAGGGCACAAAUGCCUGUUCUUACUACUCCUGUUCAACAUCUUACGAAAAUCCUAGCUCAUGUAAAAAAGCAAGAAAAAUGAGUAAGAUUUGAGUGAAUUAAGAAAGAAAAAAUGCUUUAUUUGCUGCUGACAUGAUUGUGCAUGUCCUGUGUACAAGAUUCCAAAGGAUCAACGACAAUGACAAACCCUCCUGGAACUAAUGUUUGACUGUCUUUGAUCGCUUCUGCUGCUUUAACAAAAUACCAUACUUCAGACUGGGUUAUCUAUGAACAGCAAAAAUGUUAUUGCUCAGAGUUCUGGGGCCUGGGAAGUCCAAGAUUGAGGCCUUGAUUUCAGUUUGGAUCUGAUCCACACAACAUGAAUGAAUCUUUAGAGCACUGUGCUCAGCAGAAAAACCUAAUCCCAAAAGAUGAAAAGUGCCUGAUUUCAUUUACAUGACAAAAUCAUAGAUAUGGAGAAGGUAUUAGCAGUUGCAAAGUCAAGGACAGGAUGAGAGAGGAGGAAUGAGUGAACGUGGCUAUAAAAAUACAACAUGAGGGGUCCCUGUGAUGAUGGGAAUGUAUAUGGUACAGAACAUGCAUAUUGUACAACAUAUGGUACCAUGGUGUUGUACUGACAAAGGAGAAAACUUGUAACUAUUUCGUAUCUUGUUCCAUAUUAGUAAUACUGUUACUGUAGUUUUGUAUGUGUAGUUUUAAAAGAUCGUCACCAUUAGGUAACAUGGGAAAAGUGGGUACAUAGAUCUCUUAUUACAACCGUGUAAAUGUAGAAUUAUUUCCAAAUAAAAGAAUGUACAAAAGGCUUCCACUUGGAAACCGAGCGCAAUGCUGCAGGAAGGCCAGUCAGCGACGCGGAAGGGCCAAGUCUGAAGCCCCGCUGAGCUACCUUCGAGGGACCAGCGGGGUGGACCCAACCAAGGUCUCAGGGGGCUCAGGC
Long non-coding RNA from Heterocephalus glaber (naked mole-rat), 1878 nucleotides. The record is from Ensembl. NCBI's taxonomy places the organism in Eukaryota, Metazoa, Chordata, Mammalia, Rodentia, Bathyergidae.